UAUAAAGGAAAAUUUAGUCAUAAACUGCCACAAAACAAAAAGAACAGUCCAACAGUAGGAAGAAAAUUCUUCAAGGACUUAAGAUACCUGAAACAUGUCAAAAGUACUGACUUCCGUUUUGGUAGUUUUUGGUUUCACUGUAGUCUUAAGUCUACCUGCCAAACGGUCACCAUUUACAAUGGGUCUAGGUGACCUUGAACACACUCGACAAUUACCAGGCAGAGUACGAGAAUUUGACAUGAAUGGUGAUGGAGCAUUAGACAUGAAAGAAUUAGAAUUUUAUUUCAAAUCCACAUUUGAUGACGUGGACCACAUAUCACAAAAUGUAAGAGAAGUCUUCUAUGUUCUUGACACCAAUGGCGAUCGGUUAAUUGAUGGUCAAGAAAUUGAACCAUUACACAACCUGUAACAGGAUAGAAAAUUGCAGGAUAGAACCUGAAGGAUGCUCGUGGCAUACAUUUGACAUUUUCAUUUUUUUCAAUCAUUUUUCAUUAAAAUUCAUUUUUUAA
Long non-coding RNA from Mytilus californianus (California mussel), 509 nucleotides. RefSeq lists it as uncharacterized. The record is from RefSeq and is a predicted model, not a curated record. The transcript has 3 exons. Lineage: Eukaryota; Metazoa; Mollusca; Bivalvia; Mytilida; Mytilidae.